RNAcentral lists this ribosomal RNA (80 nucleotides) under Klebsiella aerogenes. The record is from RNAcentral. RNAcentral also lists the same sequence under 41 other names. Lineage: Bacteria; Pseudomonadati; Pseudomonadota; Gammaproteobacteria; Enterobacterales; Enterobacteriaceae.
AUGCCGAACUCAGAAGUGAAACGCCGUAGCGCCGAUGGUAGUGUGGGGUCUCCCCAUGUGAGAGUAGGGAACUGCCAGGC